UACGAAGGGGGCUAGCGUUGCUCGGAAUUACCGGGCGUAAAGGGCGCGUAGGCGGACAGUUUAGUCAGAGGUGAAAGCCCAGGGCUCAACCUUGGAAAUGCCUUUGAUACUGGCUGUCUUGAGUUCGGGAGAGGUGAGUGGAAUGCCGAGUGUAGAGGUGAAAUUCGUAGAUAUUCGGCGGAACACCAGUGGCGAAGGCGGCUUACUGGUCCGGUUCUGACGCUGAGGCGCGAAAGCGUGGGGAGCAAACAGG
This 253-nucleotide ribosomal RNA is filed under the name uncultured bacterium. RNAcentral's name for it is "partial 16S ribosomal RNA". It matches the Rfam family "Bacterial small subunit ribosomal RNA", at positions 524 to 776 of the family's 1533-position model. The record is from RNAcentral.